CAGUCGAACGAAGAGCGAUGGAAGCUUGCUUCUAUCAAUCUUAGUGGCGAACGGGUGAGUAACGCGUAAUCAACCUGCCCUUCAGAGGGGGACAACAGUUGGAAACGACUGCUAAUACCGCAUACGAUCUAAUCUCGGCAUCGAGGAUAGAUGAAAGGUGGCCUCUACAUGUAAGCUAUCACUGAAGGAGGGGAUUGCGUCUGAUUAGCUAGUUGGAGGGGUAACGGCCCACCAAGGCGAUGAUCAGUAGCCGGUCUGAGAGGAUGAACGGCCACAUUGGGACUGAGACACGGCCCAGACUCCUACGGGAGGCAGCAGUGGGGAAUCUUCCGCAAUGGACGAAAGUCUGACGGAGCAACGCCGCGUGAGUGAUGACGGCCUUCGGGUUGUAAAGCUCUGUUAAUCGGGACGAAAGGCCUUCUUGCGAAUAGUGAGAAGGAUUGACGGUACCGGAAUAGAAAGCCACGGCUAACUACGUGCCAGCAGCCGCGGUAAUACGUAGGUGGCAAGCGUUGUCCGGAAUUAUUGGGCGUAAAGCGCGCGCAGGCGGAUCAGUCAGUCUGUCUUAAAAGUUCGGGGCUUAACCCCGUGAGGGGAUGGAAACUGCUGAUCUAGAGUAUCGGAGAGGAAAGUGGAAUUCCUAGUGUAGCGGUGAAAUGCGUAGAUAUUAGGAAGAACACCAGUGGCGAAGGCGACUUUC
RNAcentral lists this ribosomal RNA (700 nucleotides) under uncultured bacterium. RNAcentral's name for it is "bacterial SSU rRNA". It matches the Rfam family "Bacterial small subunit ribosomal RNA", at positions 59 to 729 of the family's 1533-position model. The record is from RNAcentral.